This 1089-nucleotide long non-coding RNA is filed under the name Numida meleagris (helmeted guineafowl). RNAcentral describes it as "lncRNA (ENSNMEG00000004062.1)". Lineage: Eukaryota; Metazoa; Chordata; Aves; Galliformes; Numididae. The record is from RNAcentral.
CAGGCAUAUGCUGAGCUAUUAACCCGUGCUUCUUCCUUUUUUUGCCUUCAGAAUUUCACAGGAAACCCUCUGGUGUGUUACAGCAGCAGAAUCUGCUUUCUUCUUUAAUUAAACUCAUGGCUUGUUUGAAAACAGAGUAAUUGUUACUGGGGCAACACAUCUUAAAUUCCUGCUCUUGCUAAUAAAUCAAAGGCGUACUGUCAAAUCUUCAUCUCGAUCUCUGGGAGGAAGUUUCUUCUUGCAUGCAAUUAAGAAUCCUCAGCUGCUCUGCAGUUCAGUGGGUUUUCUCUGCAAAUACAAGUUAGCAGAGGUGAGCUGAGGCCACAGCGUGGCUCUUUGCUUGCUGCAGUCACAGCGUGUGUUGUGCCAUGAGCGGCGCUGUAUUCUGAUCUCUCUCACGUCUAGACGGAUAUUCAUAAUGAAAUAGAUGUCUGGAUAAUGAAGUAGACUUUCACAGUCCUAAUGGGAUUGAAGCCUGCAAAGGAUGGAAAAAGAGCAACUAGCACUAUACCCUCCAAGGCCCCUGGAUUUCGCAGUUCAGAAACAGACUUGAUAACGUAUGAGACGGACGUGGAUGGAUGAAGCGGGAAAAACAACAAAUAUUCAAUAAUGCUUAGGAGCAAAUUCAGAUCGUGGUAUAGAUGAGAACCGUGGCAGAGUGAAGCGCAGACUUCAGCUCAUCUCCAGCUGGACAGAUGUUCUAGCCGCCAUAAUGGUAAGCACGGUAGUCUUUGUUUUAACAGCACUUGUGCCUUUACAAUGAGGUGUGAGGGUCUAUUUUCCUGAAAAUGAGCUUUAUUUAAUGCGAUUAAUUUAACCAUGACUCAGUGAUCCAUUCUCCUCCACAUAAAUUUCUAAGGCCUUUUCUGUCUCAUUAUUUUAACUCCAGAAAAUCACAGCCAGACCCAACUAUGCCUGUUACUUCGAAUUUGUGGGAAUCUCACACUGCAUUAAAUGUAUAAAUGGCUGGGCUGGUAGGGUGUAAGUGCACUGCUUCUGUCUGAUCUCAUAGCAUUUAUUACCUGUUCUGAUAAAAAUAUCUGAUAAUCAUCGAUACAUUUUGGAUAAUAUGUCAAUAAAACACCUUCC